UCGAGGAUCUUCGGCAAUGGGCGCAAGCCUGACCGAGCGAGGCCGCGUGGGCGAUGAAGGCCUUCGGGUUGUAAAGCCCUGUCGAGGGGGAGAAAAGCCGAAAGGUGUGAUCUAUCCCUGGAGGAAGCACGGGCUAAGUUCGUGCCAGCAGCCGCGGUAAGACGAACCGUGCGAACGUUGUUCGGAAUCACUGGGCUUAAAGGGCGCGUAGGCGGGCUGUCAAGUCCGGGGUGAAAUCCUCCAGCUUAACUGGAGAAUUGCCUCGGAUACUGAUGAUCUCGAGGAGGAUAGGGGCACACGGAACUGUGGGUGGAGCGGUGAAAUGCGUUGAUAUCCACAGGAACUCCGGUGGCGAAAGCGGUGUGCUGGAUCCUUUCUGACGCUGAUGCGCGAAAGCCAGGGGAGCAAACGG
Molecule: ribosomal RNA, 412 nt
Filed under: uncultured bacterium
Lineage: Bacteria
Description: bacterial SSU rRNA
Rfam family: Bacterial small subunit ribosomal RNA
Source: RNAcentral